RNAcentral lists this microRNA precursor (129 nucleotides) under Marmota monax (woodchuck). The record is from RNAcentral. Lineage: Eukaryota; Metazoa; Chordata; Mammalia; Rodentia; Sciuridae.
GUGGAACUGUUUCAUUUACUCUCUCUCUCUCUCUCUCUCUCUCUCUCUCUAUAUAUAUAUAUAUAUAUAUAUAUAUAUAUAGAGAGAGAGAGAGAGAGAGAGAGAGAGAGAGUGUGUGUAAGAGAAAGA